This 433-nucleotide ribosomal RNA is filed under the name uncultured bacterium. RNAcentral describes it as "partial 16S ribosomal RNA". It matches the Rfam family "Bacterial small subunit ribosomal RNA", at positions 29 to 507 of the family's 1533-position model. The record is from RNAcentral.
AACGAACGCUGGCGGCAUGCCUAACACAUGCAAGUCGAACGAGACCUUCGGGUCUAGUGGCGCACGGGGGCGUAACGCGUGGGAACCUGCCCUUAGGUUCGGAAUAACUCCCUGAAAGGGGUGCUAAUACCGGAUAAUGUCUUCGGACCAAAGAUUUAUGGCUUUUGGAUGGGCCCGCGUUGGAUUAGCUGGUUGGUAGGGUAAAAGCAUACCAAGGAGACGAUCCAUAGCUGGUCUGAGAGGAUGAUACGCCACACUGGGACUGAGACACGGCCCAGACUCCGACGGGAGGGAGCAGUGGGGAAUAUAAGACGAUGAGGGAAGGCGUAAUCAAGCAAUGCCGGGUGAGUGAUGAAGGCGUUAGGGUUGUAAAGCUCUUUUAGACGGGAUGAUAAUGACAGUACCGGGAGAAUAAGCACCGGCUAACUACGUG